This 703-nucleotide ribosomal RNA is filed under the name uncultured organism. RNAcentral's name for it is "bacterial SSU rRNA". It matches the Rfam family "Bacterial small subunit ribosomal RNA", at positions 102 to 828 of the family's 1533-position model. The record is from RNAcentral.
ACGGGUGAGUAACGCGUGGGAUAUCUACCCUAGAUGAGUGGAAUAACUCUCCGAAAGGAGAGCUAAUACCGCAUAAUCCGGAAACGGGAAAGGCCUUAUGGUCGCAUCUGGAGGAGCCCGCGUCCGAUUAGCUGGUUGGUGAGGUAAUGGCUCACCAAGGCGACGAUCGGUAGCCGGUCUGAGAGGACGGACGGUCACACUGGGACUGAGACACGGCCCAGACUCCUACGGGAGGCAGCAGUGGGGAAUUUUGGGCAAUGGGGGAAACCCUGACCCAGCAACGCCGCGUGGAGGAAGAAGGUUUUCGAAUCGUAAACUCCUGUCCCACGAGAAGAAGCAAGUGACGGUAUCGUGGGAGGAAGCCCCGGCUAACUCCGUGCCAGCAGCCGCGGUAAUACGGGGGGGGCGAGCGUUGUUCGGAAUUACUGGGCGUAAAGGGCGCGUAGGCGGUUUCGGAAGUCAAGGGUGAAAGCCCCGAGCUCAACUCGGGAAUUGCCUUUGAAACCACGGAACUAGAGUGCUGGAGAGGAAAGCGGAAUUUCCAGUGUAGCGGUGAAAUGCGUAGAUAUUGGAAGGAACAUCUGAGGCGAAGGCGGCUUUCUGGACAGACACUGACGCUGAGGCGCGAAAGCCAGGGGGAGCGAACGGGAUUAGAUACCCCGGUAGUCCUGGGUUGUAAACGAUGAACCACUUGGUGUGGGGG